RNA transcript from Daphnia magna, 3375 nucleotides. It is a transcript of the gene named mitochondrial uncoupling protein Bmcp-like, with no coding region annotated. The record is from RefSeq and is a predicted model, not a curated record. The transcript is spliced from 17 exons. Lineage: Eukaryota; Metazoa; Arthropoda; Branchiopoda; Diplostraca; Daphniidae.
GUGACAAAAUUAACGAAGGCAAGAGCAAGACAUUGACAUUCACCAGUUCACAUACUCUGAUAUCGCCCGCAGGCGCCGACUUAUCGUCGGGUUAUAGUGAAUUACAUACUGGUCUCUGCACUCGUAUCAUACCGCUACAGUUUCAAAGAGAGUGAUGCCGUCGUAUCGUAGUGCCUAUUUAUAACUUCCUGGCGGUAUCCCCAGAAAUACGAUUGAGUUCAUACAUGUAAAGUUUGUGAGUCUACGUAUAGUUCUUAUGUAGAAAACGAAUUAGGACGUUGGAUUUGUCGAAUAAGGAUUCAAUCAACAAGCUUAGUUAAACCUCGCCAUAUUGAGUUUGCCUAUCAUUAAACGCACUACCUGGCGUGGGCGAAUGUGGAUACUUGUCCUAUACAGCAAAUUAAUUUUAUGUUCCCCUGGCUAAUUUUGUGAGGUUAGAAUUGGUUGUUUCCAGUUUUCUAUCACAUGUAGUUGAAUAUGCAUAGAUAAAUUAAGAACCAACCAAUUCUUGAUUAGCUCGAUUGUACUAACUUCAGCCAAUUUUUAAAUUGGAUUCACUCCACCAUUUCUUUGAUUAAUAAUUACUACAGCUUUAACAAAAAUUCACAUGGGUGAUAGUCAUGAUUGGAGACCAUUUGUGUACGGAGGAUUCUCAUCUUGUACAGCUGAAUUUGGUACAUUCCCCAUUGAUACUACAAAAACAAGACUUCAAAUUCAGGGUCAAAAAUUGGAUGGUAGAUUUACUGUUGUUCGUUACAAUGGAAUGUUCCAUGCUUUGUCAAGAAUUACAAGAGAGGAAGGAGUUCGGGCUUUGUAUUCAGGUAUUUGGCCAGCACUCCUACGUCAGUCUACAUAUGGUACUAUCAAAUUUGGGAUUUACUACACACUAAAAAAAUGGAUUGAUCAUCCGGAAGUCGAAGACAUGAUGACCAAUAUAUUCUGUGGCAUUAUUGCUGGCGUGGUAUCCAGCGCAAUAGCCAAUCCAACAGAUGUUUUGAAAGUAAGAAUGCAAGCCUGCUCAACUUCACUGCAGCAAAAGUCUAUGUUUGAGUGUUUUGGAGAUGUUUAUAGACAGGAAGGCAUAUCGGGUUUAUGGCGGGGUGUAGGUCCGACAGCACAGAGGGCAGCGGUGAUAACAGCUGUUGAAUUGCCCAUUUAUGACAUUUGUAAGCAUAGGCUAAUACAGGGCAAUUUAAUGGGUGAUACAGUAUCUAAUCACUUUGUAUCAAGCUUCAUAUCAAGUUUGGGUGGUGCCAUAGCCUCGACUCCUAUUGACGUUGUGCGAGUGCGUCUGAUGAAUCAGCGACGCCUUAAAUCUGGAGUACGGUUCGGGUUUGGAAUGAGUAGUGAUUUUACUCUUCAUAAAUCGAGACUCUACCGUGGAACCAUAGAUUGCUUCAUACAGACCGUCCGACAUGAAGGUGUCAUGGCUCUUUAUCGUGGUUUCAUUCCAACUUGGUUGCGCAUGGGCCCCUGGAACAUGAUUUUCUUCAUUACAUACGAACAGCUAAAAAAGCUAUACUAAUUAAAUUUUAGGUGGUGUGUUACUGCUUUCAUUAAGUUAACACGAAAUUGCUCCCUACGUCCUUCCCUCCUCGCAUCUGACUAAGGGAUUUGUAUUAUCAGUACAUUUCGUCCGAGUUAGACUAAUACAAAUAAUAAAAGGGGUCAUCACCAAGACUGUUUUCGGAUAUUCAAACCUCCCGCCCAUCGAAGCUCAGUUUAAAGAAACCAUUAACUCCUCAAAGACCACAAGUACACCUGUUACCACCACCCGGUUCCAAAUCGAUGAUUGCUUGGAUUCAAGAAAAAACAAUGCUCGUGACUCGGUGUCGCCAACGUGAUACAAAGUUAUUCAACUCUUUACAUCAAACCUGUUGAGAAGGAUGCCCCAGGCUGGAUUACUCCAAUUGAAAAUGAAUGGACACAGGUAACAAGUUUAGAGAGACUUUUAUCAGAUCACCUUGCAACCUCUUACUUUCAUUUGAAAGUAAUUCAAGUAGGUCGUCCUAAUGCAAUAAUAAUUUCCGAUUUAAUUUUUUGAUUAGUUCAUUUAUAGCACUCAUGCAAGAUGCAACCACCAUUUAGACAUCUUAAAAACGUAUUUUAGGAUAUGCAAACUAUGGCACUAAGUUAAUUUUUAUAUAAUACUUCGCAUGUUUGUCGCAUGUGAAAAAGAAUAAAAAUGGAAUGUGAUGCCUAGGUAGCAUAAUGAGGUCAGAAGAUUGCCCAACAUCUAUGGAAAAAUGACUUGAUUGAUGAACCAGCUAUAUUUAGCAGGUUGGCUUUAUUGGAGAACUGUUAAACAUUUGAUAUUCAUAAUGUUCGCAAGGCUUUUAAGAAAAUAGUUUUCAUUGCACUGGUGACAAUUCGGAAUGGCGAGGUGCGAAUGAAUCGGAUUAAAAGUCAGCGUGGAAAUGCAAUAGUUCCGCAGCUGGCAAGAAAUGAGAGGACGAUUGGUGAUGAGACAGUUUAUUCUAAUCGCUGUAACUCAUGGACACGUCGACAUUCGUGGUAAUCAAACUUAGAACGUCUGCAAUGCGAAAUUUUUCACCAAUAUAAAGGAAAGCUGCAAACAUAUUUUCAGCAUUUUUAAUAAAAAAAUAAGCGCGUUCAUUCCCUUCAACCAAUUGUCAACGCGAGGCCCCGUAGGAACCUUCCAUACGUCACUUUUAUUGUAGCUGACAGUGACUGUAAUUAUGGCUUACUUAGCCCAUGUUUAUCCAGAGCUGCCUUCUUGAUCCCCGCACUAAAAACUAUCAUCUUCAAAAGCUUCCAGGUUUGUUGUGGUCGUAGAACAGCAGACGACGAAGUACGUACUACUCGAUUUGAACAGUUCAAAGCGGCAUUUUACCAUCGGGCAGAAUCCAAACGGUUGAUGCAUUGAAAAUGUCGGAGCUCUGUUGAUGAAUUUUCACCAGCACUCUUCCACAAGACGCGCGCGAAGCAAACGAUAGCAAAGGAGAUGUGGACUUGAAUUGGUUGUUUACCACCCGUGGCUUUCCCGCAUCCCAGGAUUAGUCUUGUACACCUUUUGCACUUGUACAGAGCGUUCGGGAACGAACUUAGUUGUGGAUGGGUUUGCUGUUGACAAGCAAGGGAAGGAUUUUUACCAAACUAGAUAGGAAUGAAAUUUCUUGUGGCUGGUUUGGUUGUUGACAAGCAAGGGAAGGAUUUUUUUUACCAAAGUAGACAGGAUAUUUAUUCUUAAUCCCACAAUGUCUUGACUACAAAUCAUGCUGAAUUAGAAUAGUAUGUUGAUCGAGGCUGGGUGCCAAAGCAAUGGAUGAUAAUUGUAAGCGCGAUUGGAAAUAUCCAUGAUUUAUUAACGUUCUCUCAUGUUACGGUAUUUUAUUAAAGACAAAUUGAAGUGUA